AUAAAGUAAGCUAAUUUAAGCUAGUGGGUUCAUACCCCAAAAAUGAGUAAAACUCCUUUAUU
Molecule: transfer RNA, 62 nt
Filed under: Amblyomma triguttatum (ornate kangaroo tick)
Lineage: Eukaryota; Metazoa; Arthropoda; Arachnida; Ixodida; Ixodidae
Description: tRNA-Met
Source: RNAcentral